AACUCUCCUCACAUCUAUUCUGGGCUGUGUCAACAUUCACAAGCCUCUCUAUAGCUUCUCUCUACAGCGUCUGCCAGCUUUUCUCUCUCUUUCUCUCUCUUUCUUUCUCUUUCAAACCUUUCUAUGGAACAUCUUAAAGAAUUCUGAAUGUUCUCGUCCACAUUUAUUUUUUCGUUCACGGAGGCCUUGACAGUUCCUUUGAAUUUGGAAGUUAUGCAAUUUUCAUUUGCGUAACCAAUCCCUUCGCACACACUCUCUGUCUCUGGAGCUUCCUCGGCGGGUGUAAUCCCAGACAGUGGAGCACCUGGGCCGCUUGUGGAAUUCCUCUCGCAGGGUGGAACAAUGCUCAGAGACCCGUUGUUCAGGAAACACUGUGGAGUGCCCCGGUUCCGGAGGGGUCUCUGAACCGAGGGUCGCUCUCUGAACUCUUUCUGUGAAAGUGUUUUCUGGUGCCGAAUGUGUGGUGAAGAACAACAAACAGGAGCCGUGUGCUGUGACAGAUGUCCCACGCUGAUAAACCCAUCAAAGAUCUUCCUCACGUGCAGUUAUGUAAUAUUUCCCACAACCGCACGUUCUCCUGCUACCUCUACUCAUUUCCCCACAGUACUAACACCACUUACACCACAGCGCUACUGAGUUCUGCGUUCUGAUUGGUCGGAUUUUCUACAACAGCAGCUCUGACAGUAGUGCAGCUGCAAAUCACAGGUUUGAAAUACGUUUCUAAAUCAUUUCUAUAGUAGCAGCUCAUUCACGGGGACUUGUACAGGGACACUGCACAUAAACGGAUUAAACGUGUGUAAUCGUUGAUAUGGUGAAGUUUUGUGUAAGAAGAUGUUUAUUUAUCAUUUAUGGAAGGAGUCUCCAGUGUCACUGCUUCGUGUGAAGUAAAGCUAUAACUUCAGGAGUUUACGCUUUGUAGUUUCUCUGUAACAUGACAAGCUGUUUGCGUUUUUCUGUCUUAUUAAGUUCAAGAGAGAAACGUGAGAUAAACGAUAAUACUUAAUAAAUAAAACAUUGUAAUCGUU
Pangasianodon hypophthalmus (striped catfish) is the source of this 1025-nucleotide long non-coding RNA. RefSeq lists it as uncharacterized. The transcript has 2 exons. Lineage: Eukaryota; Metazoa; Chordata; Actinopteri; Siluriformes; Pangasiidae. The record is from RefSeq and is a predicted model, not a curated record.